This 244-nucleotide long non-coding RNA is filed under the name Sarcophilus harrisii (Tasmanian devil). Its description in RNAcentral is "lncRNA (ENSSHAG00000030983.1)". Lineage: Eukaryota; Metazoa; Chordata; Mammalia; Dasyuromorphia; Dasyuridae. The record is from RNAcentral.
CAAUCCUUUGCGUUAGGAAGAGUCGGGCUGAAGGCCGGAGAAUUAGGAGGGCGGAUUGGGCAUCGCCCCAUCCAGCUGCUGGCAGCGGACGACAGCCGGCCGGCUCGCCGCGCGGAACUCUGGCGAGCGCACUGGAAGCACACAAGUACAUACAGACGCGCGCCCAGCCGGCGCUAUACUGUGAAGAGCUAAUCAUUGCAGAGUUUUGGAAGAUUCUGACGUGCAAUUAAAAAGAUUUUUAAAG